GGGAGGGGCGCAGGCUACACAUGCAGUCGAGCGGUAGCACAGAGAGCUUGCUCUCGGGUGACGAGCGGCGGACGGGUGAGUAAUGUCUGGGAAACUGCCUGAUGGAGGGGGAUAACUACUGGAAACGGUAGCUAAUACCGCAUAACGUCGCAAGACCAAAGUGGGGGACCUUCGGGCCUCAUGCCAUCAGAUGUGCCCAGAUGGGAUUAGCUGGUAGGUGGGGUAACGGCUCACCUAGGCGACGAUCCCUAGCUGGUCUGAGAGGAUGACCAGCCACACUGGAACUGAGACACGGUCCAGACUCCUACGGGAGGCAGCAGUGGGGAAUAUUGCACAAUGGGCGCAAGCCUGAUGCAGCCAUGCCGCGUGUGUGAAGAAGGCCUUCGGGUUGUAAAGCACUUUCAGCGGGGAGGAAGGCGGUGAGGUUAAUAACCUCAUCGAUUGACGUUACCCGCAGAAGAAGCACCGGCUAACUCCGUGCCAGCAGCCGCGGUAAUACGGAGGGUGCAAGCGUUAAUCGGAAUUACUGGGCGUAAAGCGCACGCAGGCGGUCUGUCAAGUCGGAUGUGAAAUCCCCGGGCUCAACCUGGGAACUGCAUUCGAAACUGGCAGGCUAGAGUCUUGUAGAGGGGGGUAGAAUUCCAGGUGUAGCGGUGAAAUGCGUAGAGAUCUGGAGGAAUACCGGUGGCGAAGGCGGCCCCCUGGACAAAGACUGACGCUCAGGUGCGAAAGCGUGGGGAGCAAACAGGAUUAGAUACCCUGGUAGUCCACGCUGUAAACGAUGUCGAUUUGGAGGUUGUGCCCUUGAGGCGUGGCUUCCGGAGCUAACGCGUUAAAUCGACCGCCUGGGGAGUACGGCCGCAAGGUUAAAACUCAAAUGAAUUGACGGGGGCCCGCACAAGCGGUGGAGCAUGUGGUUUAAUUCGAUGCAACGCGAAGAACCUUACCUGGUCUUGACAUCCACAGAACUUAGCAGAGAUGGAUUGGUGCCUUCGGGAACUGUGAGACAGGUGCUGCAUGGCUGUCGUCAGCUCGUGUUGUGAAAUGUUGGGUUAAGUCCCGCAACGAGCGCAACCCUUAUCCUUUGUUGCCAGCGGUUAGGCCGGGAACUCAAAGGAGACUGCCAGUGAUAAACUGGAGGAAGGUGGGGAUGACGUCAAGUCAUCAUGGCCCUUACGACCAGGGCUACACACGUGCUACAAUGGCAUAUACAAAGAGAAGCGACCUCGCGAGAGCAAGCGGACCUCAUAAAGUAUGUCGUAGUCCGGAUUGGAGUCUGCAACUCGACUCCAUGAAGUCGGAAUCGCUAGUAAUCGUAGAUCAGAAUGCUACGGUGAAUACGUUCCCGGGCCUUGUACACACCGCCCGUCACACCAUGGGAGUGGGUUGCAAAAGAAGUAGGUAGCUUAACCUUCGGGAGGGCGCUACCACUUUGAUCAUGCA
Molecule: ribosomal RNA, 1443 nt
Filed under: uncultured Klebsiella sp.
Lineage: Bacteria; Pseudomonadati; Pseudomonadota; Gammaproteobacteria; Enterobacterales; Enterobacteriaceae
Description: bacterial SSU rRNA
Rfam family: Bacterial small subunit ribosomal RNA
Source: RNAcentral